Molecule: long non-coding RNA, 1715 nt
Organism: Carassius gibelio (silver crucian carp)
Lineage: Eukaryota; Metazoa; Chordata; Actinopteri; Cypriniformes; Cyprinidae
Exons: 4
Source: RefSeq, a predicted model, not a curated record
CUAUGCUCUAGAUUAAGGUGAAGGGGGCGGGAAUAAUUGAGGGCAAAGUUGAACGAGGAAGAAUUGGGAGAGCACGAGGGAGAAGAGCGUGCGAUCAUCUGGUGUUAUAUUGUUUCACAAAAUAUAUAGUGUAACUAAUGCUAUAAUGUGUUGCAAUAGUUUAUGUAGUUAAGGUGUUGUCGGAAUGAGAACAAAAACUUAUACUACAGAGACGGUUGGCGAGUCGUCAGCAUGAGGAUUCGUGGCAGUUUCAGAUGAGGAUUACAGAUGACUUGUGAGCUAACGUGAGUGCUCGGAAUUCCUUUGGCCUUAAAGAAAUCGCCGCGAUAGUGGAGUUGACGGACAUCUAACGUCGUGAGGUGAAACACGCUCUUCUGAUUGGAUGGUUCAAGGUAUUUUUAUUUUUUUGUUUGUUGCUCAGUGUUGAGUGAAGCGGUCUUUUGUUUAUUUGUUGACCACAACGUACCCCAGCAUCAAACAGGCCUGCAACGUGAAAAUAACGAACUUUCAUAUUGAUUGAGUUUAAGUGUGAGCUCAUAUUGCCGGCUUAGUAUUUGUUUGAAGAGUUUAUUAAGUUUGAGGACUCACAUUUGAAGUAUAACAACAGAGGGGAACAAAUGUCCAUUUACAACAAGAGUGAAUGUGAAAUGUGUACUUGAUUUUAUUGUUUUAUUCAUUUGUGUGAAUAUGUGAAAUUCACAUUGCUUAUUUAAAUAAUUUAAUUUUACCUUUGGAAAAAAUCCUGGAACGUGAUCAUUUUACAUUUUAUCCAGUAAAUUGUUAUUUACAGUCUACUUGAGUGUUUUCAGUUUAUUAUUAUUUGAGUUAAAAAGGAAAUAUAUACAUUGAUUAUUUCUUUUAUUGGUAAAACAAUUGAUUUAUUUACAGAAGUUCAAUUCUAAUUCAUUAUUGUUUGAAUUUAUUUUAAAGUUUAAGGGACCCAAGGAACUAAGUAACAAAUACAGUUACAUAGAACAAGUUGAAGUAAGUAAAUAAGAACACUUAUCUCACAAUAUUUGAUAAACCAAAGUUUAUUCAUACGAACUCAGAGCGCACCAUUAUCUAUCUAUAUAGAAAGGGAAAAAAGCGCUACAAAAUAAAAAUACUUGUGGAAACACCCUAUAUGCUGUGCUCUAACCCUGUAUAUUUAAGAAACUUAAAGAUAGCUUUGCUACAGGGUCCCCGCGGGUCCUUAAAAAGUCUUGAAAUGUCUUAAAUACAAUUUUCGAUUUUUAAGGUCUGAAAAUGUCUUGAAUCCUGGAAUUUUCCAUAUGAAUGUCUUAAAUUUCAUGUGGGGUCUUAAAUUUCAUGUCCGACUCGUCAUUUUUAUUUAUUUUUUCAACCGCAAUUUGACCAGCACAACAUUUGGGGGCAGCACUUCGUGGGUGCAACCUGCAUCAUACCAUAUGUCACAUACGAGUAAGUGAUUGAUGAACGCGUAGCGCUGAUGGUUCGCCACCACGGCAUUUUGCGAAAUCGCAAGCAUGGGCAAAGACGAUAAAGCUGUGGACAAGACCAUGAUUGUCAGGUCUCGCUAUCUUGGUUCUCAGUUUUUGAGCACCUCAAUGGCAGAAGACUAGCUGGAGCACUUUAAGGAGGGCACCAAGGAACUUAAUUUAAGGAACAUGCUUUCUGUGUCAAUGGAUGGACCCACAGUAAAUUGGAAAGUCAUGGAUCUCCUACAACUGGAACAUGCAAUAAAUUUCUGAUCCUGA